CUGGCCUUGUUUUUUAAAGUGACUAAAAAUUUGCUGAAACUUUCUAUAGUUAAGAGUUUCAUUGUGCAUUCGUUCCAAGAACUAGUUUAAAAGAUCCGCAAACCAUCCCUGCAGCCCAUGUCAACGCUGUGCACAUCUUCCAGUGAGACUCCCACUCAUUUUACUUGACACAAUUUUCAGUCAAAACUGCGUGCUCCUCCAUCUUUCUCUUCUGUGCAAUAAUCACCACUACAGGAGCUGAGCUGCAGUACCUGCUGAUCAAAGGGGAAAUGGAUAAGGCAUGAUCUACUUCCGGCUGUUUGGGAAAAUCCAGGCUGCUCUCUCCAUCUUUCCAGUGUCAACAGGGGCAUUGACUAGAAACACUCUGACCGGCAUUGGGGCGAAGAUGUUAAAGGUCUGCAGCAUUCUCAUCUUCUGCACUCUGCUGACCCUGCCUCGAGACUCACAGGGCUACAGGCCGGAGCUGAUAAUCAGGGAGAAGACUACUAAGAAAGACUUGGCGUCCCACGUACUCCAUGGGCAAAGUCUGGCUGACGAGCAGCUGAGCGGAGACCCUGGAGGGCGGCUGCCAGGCGCUGGAGGCACACUCAUCGCAGGAAGCCAGCCAUCACUCCUCAGCAGCCUACUGUCUGCAGUGGGCAGGCUGUUAGGUGGGCAGGGAGCUGAGCAUCGAUCCAAUGUGCAAGGGGCUGGAGCAGUGUCUUCCUUUGGCGGGCGGGGGGUCAGAAAGGCCAGACCUUUACUCAGAAUGGAAGGUAGGAGGGCAGGACAGCCUGUCUAUGGGACACUGCUUGGCUCAAGAGGACAGGGAGAACGUCUGCCUUUGAUCAGAUGGCUGCUUGGGGGAGGCAGGGGAGUGACGUUACCUUUAACUGGGAAUAACCUUGGUGGUGUAGGUGGGGGUCUACUACACAGGGGAGGAGGUGUCCCAGUAAGUGGAGAUAGGGGAUUGCUUGGUGGGGAAGCAGGUGUAUCUACAUAUCAAGGUGCCUUAGGAGGGGGAGCAGGUGAUCCUAUAGUUGGAGAUGUUCCCAGUGGGGGAGGGGGUGUCCCUAUCAUUGGAGAUCCUCUCAGUGGG
This 1078-nucleotide long non-coding RNA is filed under the name Gopherus agassizii (Agassiz's desert tortoise). RNAcentral's name for it is "lncRNA (ENSGAGG00000022533.1)". The record is from RNAcentral. Lineage: Eukaryota; Metazoa; Chordata; Testudines; Testudinidae.